This 298-nucleotide ribosomal RNA is filed under the name Candidatus Saccharibacteria bacterium CG_4_9_14_0_2_um_filter_41_9. Its description in RNAcentral is "partial 23S ribosomal RNA". It matches the Rfam family "Bacterial large subunit ribosomal RNA", at positions 2618 to 2925 of the family's 2925-position model. The record is from RNAcentral. Lineage: Bacteria; Candidatus Saccharimonadota.
GUCGUGAGACAGUUCGGUUUAUAUCCGGUACGGACGUUAGGAAAUUUGAGAAGAUCCACCCUUAGUACGAGAGGACCGGGGCGGACGAACCUCUGGUGUAUCGAUUGUGGCCACCUGCUGCAUUGUCGAGUAGCUACGUUCGGAAUAGAUAAGCGCUGAAAGCAUAUUAAGCACGAAACUAACUUCAAGAUAAGAUUUCCCUAUGAGGACACUGAAAGAAUAUCAGUUUGAUAGGCGCAAGGUGUAAGCAUGGCAACAUGUGUAGCUGAAGCGUACUAAUAGUCCCAUCGCCUUUUUA